CAUAAUUCUCAACUUUUACAUUGUGUUCUUUUAUCCCCCAGGUGACAGUGUGGCGACCACUAAGGGACCUAGAGCUGACUUCUCUCCUUCACCUGAACUCUCUGAGGAACAGGAGCCUUGGUACCAGCAGAGGCCUCUUCUGUCCACCUACCUCCUGAGAGACUCCAGACGAAUCUGGAAUCUUCGCCUGAUCUAGGAAUAAGCCCUCCUAGCGCCAUGGGACAAAAACUGGUCAUGAAAUGACUCCCAAACAUUGGUCAAAUUUAUGAGUAAGAGGAGGCACUGUGGACAAAGAAUGUCACCUGCCAUCUCAGUAAACAAAGGAUGUAGAGCCAUCAAGCCCUCUGCCACUGCAGCUGUCCCAGCUGUGCACCCUGGGGGGAUUCAGGAUGGAGAGAAGCAGGACACUGGCCCCAGAGAGCAAAGGUGCACAUCAAAGGAAUGAGUUCAAUGAGGCCAGACUCUUGCAUCUUCCCAUACCUGGCAAAAUGCUGAAUUCAUUAACUUGAGAUAUCUCGUUUUCACUAAUGAGCAGUAAUCUUUUCAUGUUCCAACUACCUGGAUUUUUUUUUUUUUUGCUUGUGUGUGUUUGUU
This is a long non-coding RNA of Orcinus orca (killer whale), 594 nucleotides long. RefSeq lists it as uncharacterized. The record is from RefSeq and is a predicted model, not a curated record. Lineage: Eukaryota; Metazoa; Chordata; Mammalia; Artiodactyla; Delphinidae. The transcript is spliced from 2 exons.